This 1983-nucleotide long non-coding RNA is filed under the name Nicotiana tabacum (common tobacco). Its description in RNAcentral is "long non-coding RNA (NTAB_LNC002398)". Lineage: Eukaryota; Viridiplantae; Streptophyta; Magnoliopsida; Solanales; Solanaceae. The record is from RNAcentral.
ACCCUAGCCGCCCACCGCCGCCGGAAAUCGCCCAAGGCGGCGGCCCAUCUCCAAUCACCUCCAACUUUUCACCACGCAAUCACCACGUCCUUCUCAUCCCAUAUCUCCCAUUCGUUUCCCUCAAAAACCUUUAGAAUUGUUCGAUUUGUAGAUCUAGAAAUGAAACCCUAGACCUCCUCUUCGUCGACGAUAGCUGUUUUGGUCCCUUAAUCGUUUGAAUGGCUAGAAUUUUCUUAAAACCUUCGCUUUUUCUUUGUUCUCGGCUUGCAAGAGUUAUUAUCAUACGUAGCACUAGCCAAAUGGAGAAAUAUCGGUCAGUGCUCGUGUAAUAAUAACUUUUGUUCGUUGAAUUCUGGCUCGCUGGAGUUGUUUGUAUCCUCCUGGUGUUUGCUAAAUUUGUAUAUCUCCCUUCCCUUUCUUAAAUUGGCUGUUUAAUCACAUAUUCGUAUGAUCAUGUGAUCUGAUUUGGGGUUAAUUCCAGUGUUUAAUCGUCUUCGUAAUUACUUUUGUGCUUUAGUGAUGAACUGUUGGUUUAAAAUUACUCAUACCUGAUUAGUGCAAUUAAAUUAGUUUCUUUAUUGAAUUUAUGAUUUGGUCGAAAUUACUGAAAUUGGUUUGAGUUUAAUUUUAAGUGUUUUAGAGAUUUGGACCGCGAGAGAUUUGCUGUUAGGUUUCUAGUGAAGGGCAGUAGUCUGGACCCAUGCAAUUAGAUAUCGAUCAAAUAAAAGAAAGGUGUAAAUAACAUGAAGUGUAAGGGACGUUUAGGAAUUAAAACUUCAAAGGAUCUCGGUCUAUAACUGCCUAAGAAGGUUCUAGAGAUAGGGUGAGGGACUAAAAUGCAACAAGAUAAAGUGUUUAGUCAAAUCUGGGGUCAAAAAGGUUAAAAUACAGACGUUAAAAGGGCUGAAAAACUAUGGAGGAAUAUCUGAAUGGACAGCUGUCCAAUAACUGUCCAAAUCAGUUUUAAAAGAUGUUCUUUUCUUGAAAUUUAGGGAUUGCCUUCUUAGAAUUAUUCCCUCAUUUGUGCACCUCUCAGAUUUUUCAUUCUCUAUAUAGGACCUCCUAUCUUCUCAGUCACACACACGUUAAGCACUCAAAAAUAAAAGGCAGCCAAAAGCUUCAAUAGAAAUUGAAGAAGAGUUCUAAAAAAUCCAAAACUUCUUCAAGAUACUAAACUUUUGUUGCUUUUGUUUAGCUUAGCACUCCUAGUUUCUUGCUUAAACAUUUGUAAGAUCACUGUUAAGUGCUGCUGACUGCAUCGCGAGGUUCGAGAUCCAGUUCUUGUUGUUUUUCUGUUGUUCUAUUUGCUACAUCAAGGACUACUAAUUUUCUUGCUGGAAUUGCUAAAUAUCUGUCCAGAUUUGGAAUUCUGCAUAUGUUUUGGAAUAUAUUUUGAUGUUUCAUUUAAGUAAGUCCAAACUCCCUUGUAUUAUGUUCAUCUUGGCUGAUUUAAAGUGGCUGAAUCUUUAUUGCAUUUCUUUUGACAUGCUCAAUUUCUGAUUUUUCUGUUAACUCACCAUGUAAUGAAUGUAUACUCCAACUUAAUUUGGAAGUUUAUUUGAAGAACAAUGAAGUGUUUUGAACAUGGUGUGGGUGAGUUUAAUCCACUCUCUUAAUUAGAACCCUAUUGUGAGUUUAGCUGACCACCUUGGUUUGAAAGCAUCUUUGUUUGUGUGUUUAAGCAUUGGGGUAGUCGAAUCCUUUAGUCAAGCAGUGGGGUAAUUGAAUCCUCUUGUCUUUGCUGCUAAUUUUGUUUCAGUUUUCCCUUUUAUGAGUAUAAUAUCCAAUGAAGUUUUCAUUUGUGAGUUUGGAUGAAUGCUUAGCUUAAUGAAACACCAGUAGCAUGUUGUGAAACGGGGGUAUUUUCUGACACAUGACUUACUGAACUUGGCAUGACAAUUCAUCAUGAGCAUAUGCAAAAGCAUACGAGUCAGAAUGGUUUUUCUUGAUGCAAGAUGAUUAAGGCUUAGAUUUGAUUUCAUU